GACCAGCCACACUGGAACUGAGACACGGUCCAGACUCCUACGGGAGGCAGCAGUGGGGAAUUUUGGACAAUGGGCGCAAGCCUGAUCCAGCAAUGCCGCGUGAGUGAAGAAGGCCUUCGGGUUGUAAAGCUCUUUUGUCAGGGAAGAAACGGCUCCGGCUAAUAUCCGGGGCUAAUGACGGUACCUGAAGAAUAAGCACCGGCUAACUACGUGCCAGCAGCCGCGGUAAUACGUAGGGUGCAAGCGUUAAUCGGAAUUACUGGGCGUAAAGCGUGCGCAGGCGGUUUUGUAAGUCUGUCGUGAAAGCCCCGGGCUCAACCUGGGAAUUGCGAUGGAGACUGCAAGGCUUGAAUCUGGCAGAGGGGGGUAGAAUUCCACGUGUAGCAGUGAAAUGCGUAGAGAUGUGGAGGAACACCGAUGGCGAAGGCAGCCCCCUGGGUCAAGAUUGACGCUCAUGCACGAAAGCGUGGGGAGCAAACAGGAUUAGAUACCCUGGUAGUCCACGCCCUAAACGAUGUCUACUAGUUGUCGGGUUUUAAUUAACUUGGUAACGCAGCUAACGCGUGAAGUAGACCGCCUGGGGAGUACGGUCGCAAGAUUAAAACUCAAAGGAAUUGACGGGGACCCGCACAAGCGGUGGAUGAUGUGGAUUAAUUCGAUGCAACGCGAAAAACCUUACCUACCCUUGACAUGGAAGGAA
Molecule: ribosomal RNA, 700 nt
Filed under: Massilia varians
Lineage: Bacteria; Pseudomonadati; Pseudomonadota; Betaproteobacteria; Burkholderiales; Oxalobacteraceae
Description: bacterial SSU rRNA
Rfam family: Bacterial small subunit ribosomal RNA
Source: RNAcentral